RNAcentral lists this ribosomal RNA (492 nucleotides) under uncultured bacterium. RNAcentral's name for it is "partial 16S ribosomal RNA". It matches the Rfam family "Bacterial small subunit ribosomal RNA", at positions 29 to 507 of the family's 1533-position model. The record is from RNAcentral.
AGUGAACGCUGGCGGUAGGCCUAACACAUGCAAGUCGAACGGCAGCACAGUGGGAGCUUGCUCUUACGGGUGGCGAGUGGCGGACGGGUGAGGAAUACAUCGGAAUCUACUUUUUCGUGGGGGAUAACGUAGGGAAACUUACGCUAAUACCGCAUACGACCUACGGGUGAAAGCAGGGGAUCUUCGGACCUUGCGCGAUUGAAUGAGCCGAUGUCGGAUUAGCUAGUUGGCGGGGUAAAGGCCCACCAAGGCGACGAUCCGUAGCUGGUCUGAGAGGAUGAUCAGCCACACUGGAACUGAGACACGGUCCAGACUCCUACGGGAGGCAGCAGUGGGGAAUAUUGGACAAUGGGCGCAAGCCUGAUCCAGCCAUACCGCGUGGGUGAAGAAGGCCUUCGGGUUGUAAAGCCCUUUUGUUGGGAAAGAAAAGCAGCAGGUUAAUACCCCGCUGUUCUGACGGUACCCAAAGAAUAAGCACCGGCUAACUUCGUG